AUUGAACGCUGGCGGCAUGCCUUACACAUGCAAGUCGAACGGUAACAGGUCUUCGGAUGCCGACGAGUGGCGAACGGGUGAGUAAUACAUCGGAACGUGCCUAGUAGUGGGGGAUAACUACUCGAAAGAGUGGCUAAUACCGCAUGAGAUCUACGGAUGAAAGCAGGGGAUCGCAGGACCUUGCGCUACUAGAGCGGCCGAUGGCAGAUUAGGUAGUUGGUGGGAUAAAAGCUUACCAAGCCGACGAUCUGUAGCUGGUCUGAGAGGACGAUCAGCCACACUGGGACUGAGACACGGCCCAGACUCCUACGGGAGGCAGCAGUGGGGAAUUUUGGACAAUGGGCGAAAGCCUGAUCCAGCAAUGCCGCGUGCAGGAUGAAGGCCUUCGGGUUGUAAACUGCUUUUGUACGGAACGAAAAGCCCCGGGUUAAUACCCUGGGGUCAUGACGGUACCGUAAGAAUAAGCACCGGCUAACUACGUGCCAGCCGCCGCAGUAA
This 498-nucleotide ribosomal RNA is filed under the name uncultured bacterium. RNAcentral describes it as "partial 16S ribosomal RNA". It matches the Rfam family "Bacterial small subunit ribosomal RNA", at positions 30 to 523 of the family's 1533-position model. The record is from RNAcentral.